AAGAAAGCUUGCUUUCUUUGCUGGCGACCGGCGCACGGGUGAGUAACACGUAUCCAACCUACCCUUUACUCGGGGAUAGCCUUUCGAAAGAAAGAUUAAUACCCGAUAGCAUAAUGAUUCCGCAUGGUUUCAUUAUUAAAGGAUUCCGGUAAAGGAUGGGGAUGCGUUCCAUUAGGUUGUUGGUGGGGUAACGGCCCACCAAGCCUUCGAUGGAUAGGGGUUCUGAGAGGAAGGUCCCCCACAUUGGAACUGAGACACGGUCCAAACUCCUACGGGAGGCACAUG
RNAcentral lists this ribosomal RNA (285 nucleotides) under uncultured bacterium. RNAcentral's name for it is "partial 16S ribosomal RNA". It matches the Rfam family "Bacterial small subunit ribosomal RNA", at positions 72 to 350 of the family's 1533-position model. The record is from RNAcentral.